GUGUGGACUCUGGGUGGGGGCGUUUGUCCUGAGAUUUCAGCCUGAGUGAGUGACUGUUCUGAGGACAGCAGAGAUGACCUGGACCUGCAGCUCAUGGGCUCCUGUGCUGGGCAGGGAGCCCUGGGGCCACCAUGGGAGUGUGUACUGCCAAAACCUCCUUCCUUCCUCUGGGAGGCCGGGCAUGGCGGGAGUGCCCACCGUGCCCGUGACACCUGUGUGAGGGCCUGUGCCCAGCUGUUGUGGGCGGGGAGGUGACAGAGUGUCAGCCUGGGUGGGAGGGGAUAGGGGUUCAGCCCAGGUGGGAGGGGACAUGGGGGUGUUGUGCCCAAGAUUGUGAAUCUGAGAAACCACUAUGGAGCUGACACUGAUGCAAACCCACGAGGGUUGAUUUCCAAACUCGAGUUUGCAUCCAAGUUCACCCGACACAGAGGAGCAGGGACUUGGACCUCGUGGUGGGUUUUUGCUUAGUUUUUAGGACUUGUCUCAGGAACCUCCAGAAGGGCUGGAGCAAUUCCUCAAGUUCUGUUUACAUUUUGAUAUGGGGCCUUCAAGGGCAUUGAGCUCUGCUCUCAUUCUAAUAGGGGCUUCCUGCCCUUGGCCUGGGCUCUGUUUUGAUUCUAUUGUGGGGCUUUCUAGGACAUUAAGCUGCAAACUUUUGUUUUUUUCCUGUAACUGAAGUAAUGUAUUUUUACCUCUUCUUCACAGGGGCCUGGGAUGGAUGGACCUGUUCGAACCCUGAACUUAAAGAGGAAAGACCUUCAUUUUCUUGGCCUCCUUGCAUCACCUCCCAUCAUAUCUAGCUCUUUCCCCCUUCCCCGGAGCUCCUGAGAGAGCAAUUGCAAAAGACCUCAGCUUGGCAGGGUCUGUAGGGGGACAGGCCCAGGGAUUUGGGAUCAGGAAGACCUGAGGCACGGGCUUCUCAGCUGUGCAGCGGGAUUCCAUGCUGCAGACUCUUAUUCCCUAAGGCUAUCUUGACAACUGACUUUAUACAUAGAAAAGCUCUCCUUUAUCUUUAAAAGAUGAAGAGCCAGUCAAAGCCUUUUUUCUCUGCCCAUCUGAUUGCUCAGAUUCCAAUGUGAGACGUAUUUCCUGUUAAUAAGGAUAAUUUACUAUCCGUAGUACUAUGGUUAAAAUAUUCUGACACAAGUAAUUCAGAGGGAUGAGGGUUUCUCAUCUCUUUCUUCACAGCUCAGUCACUCCUCAGGAAAUGGAUCGUUAUGGAUUUGGAAAUAACUGAGAGACAUUAUUACCAACGGUCCUAUUAUUAUGUGAAGGAUCCUUCCCUGAGAUUCUUCCCCUGUUUCAACUGACACUGAAACACUUUGAACUCUUUGGAAGACAAAUGUCAAGGAAAUAAAUGUUAUGCACUGCUAAUUUUAAAUGCACUUGCAAUAUGGUGUCUAUUAUAAUAGAAGUAUUUUUAUCUGAUUUUUGCUAUUUAUUAAUCGUUCCUGCUUUUCAGGUUGAGGAGGCAUUAUACGUGUUCAUAAGUGUUUUUCUUUCUUUCUGAUAUAAAAUUCUUACUUUGUUUCCAUCAAAGGAACUCUUUAAGAAUAAGGCAACAGUUAAUUCAACUAUUCUUAAAAUGUCUUCACACUUGGAGCCUGAUUCAUUUAAGUCAAUUUUCAAAAUAAAUCUUAUUUCUUAGGAAAAAAACAAAGAUUUAUAGGGAAUUUGAGAAGAUAGUACAGAGCAUUUGCAUGCACUUGCACUCAGUUUCUCCAAUGAUUGAUAUCUAAUAUCAGUACGGUACAAAUAUUAGCUAAUAAAUGAAUAUUAAAAUAUUCGCAUUAACCAAAGAUGAAACUUUAUUCAGAUUUCCUUAGUUUUUGCUAAGUUACCACCCCUCAUAUGACAUUCCAUUUGUCCUCCUGUUUUCUUAGGCUCCUCUGGAUUGUGACAGUCUUUCAGCCUUUCCUUGUUGUUGCACUGGAACACUUUGAGAAGUAGAGUAUUUUGUAAAUUUCCCUCAGUUGAGACAUGUCUGUUGUUUAUCUCAUGAUUGAACUGUUUUUGUGGAUUCUAUACAGAGAUAUACUGCCAUUUUUAUUAUAUCAUAUAAAGGAUAGAUACUAUCAACAUGAUUUAUCCGUCUUGGUAUCGAUCUGAUCAUCUUGCUGAGGUAGUGUUUGUCAUCUUUCUCCGUAGUUAAGUGAUUCUUCUUCUUUCUUCUUCUUCUUCUUCUUCUUCUUCUUCUUCUUCUUCUUCUUCUUCUUCUUCCUAUUAUUAUUAUUAAUAUCACUAUAUUAUCAUUAUUAUUUUAAGUUUUUCAUAAUAUAUUUUGUAGAGGGAAGUUACUAUGUGUAUUCCACGCGUAAGAGUGGGAAGCUAUGCUCACCAACUUGACGGUGGAAAGUCUGCACAA
Molecule: long non-coding RNA, 2365 nt
Filed under: Canis lupus familiaris (dog)
Lineage: Eukaryota; Metazoa; Chordata; Mammalia; Carnivora; Canidae
Description: lncRNA (ENSCAFG00030020136.1)
Source: RNAcentral